This 1046-nucleotide long non-coding RNA is filed under the name Medicago truncatula (barrel medic). RNAcentral describes it as "long non-coding RNA (MTRU_LNC000072)". The record is from RNAcentral. Lineage: Eukaryota; Viridiplantae; Streptophyta; Magnoliopsida; Fabales; Fabaceae.
CUGCAUCCGAUCCGAUCCUAUCCUAUCCUAUAUGGAACUCAACCCGAAUUAGGAAGGUUCACAUAAAUCAAGAGAUAUAAGGUAUGAUUAUGACAAGGUAUGAUAUUAAAUUUUAUUCUACAAGCCAUAUGAAACCUACUUUGCUGUUAAUUAAAGAGGCAGUAAAUGAAGUUAUAUAUUGAGUAUGACUAUUGACAUAUUUACAUAAUCUAUUAAUGUCAUACAGUUUCAGUUGUAAGAGAUAAACCUCAUAUGAUUUUGUUUGUAAAUAUAUAUAAAAAAGUUGAAGACUAGUAUAGUAACCAAGAACUAGCACUGCAAUGCUGGCUUAUUUGUAAAGUAUUAAAUUUGUGUUUGGUUUUUAAGUCUGAUUUGAAGAUUGCGACGAAGCUUUAGUAUGGUUGGAGUUGGAGCAUACAAAGAGUCUCCAGAAAGGCAGUUGCUUGCGCUUAUGGUGGUUGUCAACAAGUUCAGUUUCAGUUUUCUGUAACAUUUCCCACAUCACUUGUACAUCUUCAUAUCCACAAGUUUGUACAUCAUCUUGAAGCUUCACCAGUCCUGCUCCUGUAACACACAAACAUGAUUGAAUGUAAGGAAAGUAACAUAUAUAUUACUAUGAUAUUCUCUACAGAUACUUGUCAGGGACACCUAUCAAUUCAUAUCAUAUCAUAUCAUCCAUCAAAUUAUUAAUAUGAUGAUGUAAGAAUUACACAAAAAAAAGGGUCCUGUAUGUCAUUAAAGCAUAGGACACUUUUUGAAGCAUUAAUUCCGUGUAUACUAAUAGUAAAUUACUUUGACGUAGCUUUCACUUUCAGGGCACCGCACGAUGAAAGUUGCACUGAAAAAGAUGUGGAUCCUACCUCUAUAUAUUGUUGAUGGCUGCAGGGCACUGAUCAAAGGAUACCACUUGUAUUUAUUUAUUUAUAUUUAUUUAAGGGGAAAAACUUAGGUGGCCGUAUAUGCUGCUGGCUGAAAAUAGGUUGUUAAUUAAAUUUCCGAAAGGUAUAAACAAUUUGUCAUGUAAUAUUAAUUAACCGAAAGCAAAU